AUUGAACGCUGGCGGCAGGCUUAACACAUGCAAGUCGAGCGGGGUGAUGGUGCUUGCACUAUCACUUAGCGGCGGACGGGUGAGUAAUGCUUAGGAAUCUGCCUAUUAGUGGGGGACAACAUCUCGAAAGGGAUGCUAAUACCGCAUACGUCCUACGGGAGAAAGCAGGGGAUCACUUGUGACCUUGCGCUAAUAGAUGAGCCUAAGUCGGAUUAGCUAGUUGGUGGGGUAAAGGCCUACCAAGGCGACGAUCUGUAGCGGGUCUGAGAGGAUGAUCCGCCACACUGGGACUGAGACACGGCCCAGACUCCUACGGGAGGCAGCAGUGGGGGAUAUUGGACAAUGGGGGGAACCCUGAUCCAGCCAUGCCGCGUGUGUGAAGAAGGCCUUAUGGUUGUAAAGCACUUUAAGCGAGGAGGAGGCUCUUUUGGUUAAUACCCAAGAUGAGUGGACGUUACUCACAGAAUAAGCACCGGCUAACUCUGUGCCAGCCGCCGCCGUAA
This 503-nucleotide ribosomal RNA is filed under the name uncultured bacterium. RNAcentral's name for it is "partial 16S ribosomal RNA". It matches the Rfam family "Bacterial small subunit ribosomal RNA", at positions 30 to 523 of the family's 1533-position model. The record is from RNAcentral.